UACGUAGGUGGCAAGCGUUGUCCGGAAUUAUUGGGCGUAAAGCGCGCGCAGGCGGUCUCUUAAGUCUGAUGUGAAGGCCCCCGGCUCAACCGGGGAGGGUCAUUGGAAACUGGGAGACUUGAGUGCAGAAGAGAAGAGUGGAAUUCCACGUGUAGCGGUGAAAUGCGUAGGGAUGUGGAGGAACACCAGUGGCGAAGGCGACUCUUUGGUCUGUAACUGACGCUGAGGCGCAAAAGCGUGGGGAGCAAACAGG
This 253-nucleotide ribosomal RNA is filed under the name uncultured bacterium. RNAcentral's name for it is "partial 16S ribosomal RNA". It matches the Rfam family "Bacterial small subunit ribosomal RNA", at positions 524 to 776 of the family's 1533-position model. The record is from RNAcentral.